CUCCCUAAUCCCGCUGUCUCCGCAGUGGGCGCAUGUGAGCAUCAUGGGCAGGUCACAAUGGGAGAUGAUCUUGGCAAGAAAGCUGACUGCAUCGUCGACAAGGCUGGCCUCCAAAUCCGCUCUCGACUCCGGGGACGCAUCGGCCGAGCCUGGCGCGUAUGUGAGCUGCAGACAAAAGAACAUGCGGCUGACAACGGCGGUCAGAAACGCUUGCAGCUCCUUGCCAGGAUUCU
This 233-nucleotide long non-coding RNA is filed under the name Coccomyxa subellipsoidea. RNAcentral's name for it is "long non-coding RNA (CSUB_LNC000243)". The record is from RNAcentral. Lineage: Eukaryota; Viridiplantae; Chlorophyta; Trebouxiophyceae; Coccomyxaceae.